This 468-nucleotide ribosomal RNA is filed under the name uncultured bacterium. Its description in RNAcentral is "partial 16S ribosomal RNA". It matches the Rfam family "Bacterial small subunit ribosomal RNA", at positions 28 to 507 of the family's 1533-position model. The record is from RNAcentral.
GACGAACGCUGGCGGCGUGCUUAACACAUGCAAGUCGAACGGAAAGGCCCUGCUUUUGUGGGGUGCUCGAGUGGCGAACGGGUGAGUAACACGUGAGUAACCUGCCCUUGACUUUGGGAUAACUUCAGGAAACUGGGGCUAAUACCGGAUAGGAGCUCCUGCUGCAUGGUGGGGGUUGGAAAGUUUCGGCGGUUGGGGAUGGACUCGCGGCCUAUCAGCUUGUUGGUGGGGUAGUGGCUUACCAAGGCUUUGACGGGUAGCCGGCCUGAGAGGGUGACCGGCCACAAUGGGACUGAGAGACGGCCCAGACGGCUACGGGAGGCAGCAGUGGGGAAUAUUGCACAAUGGGCGGAAGCCUGAUGCAGCAACGCCGGGUGCGGGAUGACGGCCUUCGGGUUGUAAACCGCUUUCGCCUGUGACGAAGCGUGAGUGACGGUAAUGGGUAAAGAAGCACCGGCUAACUACGUG